GUUAACGUAGCAAAAUCUGGCANAUGCAAAAGACCUAAGCCCUUUCCAUAGAGGCUCAAAUCCUCUCGUUAACU
This 74-nucleotide transfer RNA is filed under the name Dendropsophus sarayacuensis (Shreve's Sarayacu treefrog). RNAcentral describes it as "tRNA-Leu". It matches the Rfam family "tRNA". From Rfam's summary of the family: Transfer RNA (tRNA) molecules are approximately 80 nucleotides in length. Their secondary structure includes four short double-helical elements and three loops (D, anti-codon, and T loops). Further hydrogen bonds mediate the characteristic L-shaped molecular structure. tRNAs have two regions of fundamental functional importance: the anti-codon, which is responsible for specific mRNA codon recognition, and the 3' end, to which the tRNAs corresponding amino acid is attached (by aminoacyl-tRNA synthetases). tRNAs cope with the degeneracy of the genetic code in two manners: having more than one tRNA (with a specific anti-codon) for a particular amino acid; and 'wobble' base-pairing, i.e. permitting non-standard base-pairing at the 3rd anti-codon position. The record is from RNAcentral. Lineage: Eukaryota; Metazoa; Chordata; Amphibia; Anura; Hylidae.